RNAcentral lists this ribosomal RNA (1235 nucleotides) under metagenome. RNAcentral's name for it is "bacterial LSU rRNA". It matches the Rfam family "Bacterial large subunit ribosomal RNA", at positions 1564 to 2808 of the family's 2925-position model. The record is from RNAcentral.
UGAGUACGAGAUGCUACGGCAUCGAAGCAGUCUAUGUCAUACUUCCAAGAAAAGCUUGCACUGUCAUAAACAAAGAAUGCCUGUACCAUAACCGACACAGGUGGGUAGGUAGAGUAUACUAAGGGGCGCGAGAUAACUCUCUCUAAGGAACUCGGCAAAAUGACUCCGUAACUUCGGGAGAAGGAGUGCCUUAUUUCUAAGGUUGCAAUAACAAGAUCCAAGCAACUGUUUACCAAAAACACAGGUCUCCGCUAAGUCGUAAGACGAUGUAUGGGGGCUGACGCCUGCCCAGUGCCAGAAGGUUAAAGAAGUUGGUUAGCAUUAGCGAAGCUGAUAACUGAAGCCCUGGUGAACGGCGGCCGUAACAAUAACGGUCCUAAGGUAGCGAAAUUCCUUGUCGGGUAAGUUCCGACCCGCACGAAAGGCGUACUGAUUUGGAUACUGUCUCGGAGAGGGGCUCGGUGAAAUAGACUUGUCUGUGAAGAUGCGGACUACCUGCACCUGGACAGAAAGACCCUAUGAAGCUUUACUGUAACUUGAGAUUGAAAUUGGACUUUAUUUGCGCAGUAUAGGUGGGAGGCGUUGAGAAUAAUCUUGCGGGAUUGUUGGAGCCAUCAGUGAGAUACCACUCUUGUAAUGUUAGAUUUCUAACUUUGUAUCAUUAUCUGGUCAAAGAACAGUUUCAGGCGGGCAGUUUGACUGGGGCGGUCGCCUCCCAAAGGGUAACGGAGGCGCACAAAGGUUUCCUCUGAACGGGUAGAAAUCGUAUCUAGAGUGUAAAGGCAUAAGGAAGCUUGACUGUGAGACCUACAAGUCGAGCAGGGACGAAAGUCGGUCUUAGUGAUCUGACGGUGCUGAGUGGAAAGGCCGUCACUCAACGGAUAAAAGUUACUCUUAGGAUAACAGGCUGAUCUCCCCCAAGAGUUCACAUCGACGGGGAGGUUUGGCACCUCGAUGUCGGCUCAUCGCAUCCUGGGGCGGUAGUCCGUCCCAAGGGUUGGGCUGUUCGCCCAUGAAAGCGGUACGCGAGCUGGGUUCAGAACGUCGUGAGACAGUUCGGUCCAUAUCCGGUGUAGGCGUUAGAAUAUUGAGAGGAGCCUUCUCUAGUACGAGAGGACCGAGAAGGACAUACCUCUGGUGUACCAGUUAUCGUGCCAACGGUAAACGCUGGGUAGCUAUGUAUGGAGUGGAUAACCGCUGAAAGCAUCUAAGUGGGAAGCCCACCUCAAGAUAAG